This is a long non-coding RNA of Drosophila rhopaloa, 833 nucleotides long. RefSeq lists it as uncharacterized. NCBI's taxonomy places the organism in Eukaryota, Metazoa, Arthropoda, Insecta, Diptera, Drosophilidae. The transcript is spliced from 2 exons. The record is from RefSeq and is a predicted model, not a curated record.
AGCCAGCGGCACCUGGAAACUGGGAUGUUGGCCUGGAAAGGUGCACCGUCAUGGAUCCAGAGGCACUCAAGCGACGGACAUCGGUAGCCGUUCGUUCGGCCGCGAUAAGCUGUCCAAAUGGAGGGAAGCCUUAGACUGUCUCCGUGGCAGGGGCAUCCUGCUCAUUCCAUAUGCAUAAUGCAUUCAUUUGACAGCUCCGAACGCGAGGACCACCGAUCGGCGGAUCAGCAUCUGGUUAUAGAGUUCGCUUCUAAUGCCGCCUUUUGACUGUGCCGCACUUCCUUUUUCGAGCAUUUAUCCCCGCCGCUAUUAAUUAGAAUGUAUAUGGGGUUUGAGCCGUUGUCCCCGUUCCAUUCCCUUAAUUUUUGGCAUUUCAAAAGUUAACAGCACGCGACAUUUUAAAUAUGUAUGAUGCGAUGCCCUCGCCCUCGGACUGCCACUCGCCUCGUUUGUCGAAAUGGAGGAUGGCGAUGACGAUGGCGGACGAAAGACGAAAUGGAACGUCGACGGCAGGCUGACUGGGAAUGGGAAUGGGAAUGAGAAUGGGAAUCCCCGGAGCAGCUGUUGAAAUUGAUGCCUGGUCGCGUUUGGCAUUUGUGUCGAAUAUGCAAGUAGUCCUGGGCAUGUUAAGACAAUGAACACGAUAGCUGGCCAGCACGAACAAGGAAUACUCUGUUAUCCGGGAAUUUAGUAGUUCACUUCAUUUCAUUUUCAGCAAAUAUAACCCUCCAAAGCUUUCAUACUCAUUUUCGAACUACUUUCCUGUUUACAAACCCUUUUUAUCGUAACACGAAAUGUGAAAAUGGCAUAAAUGUUUCUUGCAGAUAUUCUAA